RNAcentral lists this ribosomal RNA (301 nucleotides) under uncultured bacterium. Its description in RNAcentral is "partial 16S ribosomal RNA". It matches the Rfam family "Bacterial small subunit ribosomal RNA", at positions 509 to 807 of the family's 1533-position model. The record is from RNAcentral.
CAGUAGCCGCGGUAAUACGGAGGGUGCAAGCGUUAAUCGGAAUUACUGGGCGUAAAGCGUGCGUAGGUGGUGGUUUAAGUCCGUUGUGAAAGCCCUGGGCUCAACCUGGGAAUUGCAGUGGAUGCUGGGUCACUAGAGUGUGGUAGAGGAUAGUGGAAUUUCCGGUGUAGCAGUGAAAUGCGUAGAGAUCGGGAGGAACAUCAGUGGCGAAGGCGGCCAUCUGGGACAACACUGACGCUGAGGCACGAAAGCCAGGGGAGCAAACAGGAUUAGAUACCCCCGUAGUCCCUGUCUCUUAUAC